GGGGAAAGAUUUUCGGCAAAGGAUCGGCCCGCGUUGGAUUAGGUAGUUGGUGGGGUAAUGGCCUACCAAGCCGACGAUCCAUAGCUGGUUUGAGAGGAUGAUCANCCACACUGGGACUGAGACACGGCCCAGACUCCUACGGGAGGCAGCAGUGGGGAAUCUUANACAAUGGGGGCAACCCUGAUCUANCCAUGCCGCGUGAGUGAUGAAGGCCUUAGGGUUGUAAAGCUCUUUCAGCUGGGAAGAUAAUGACGGUACCAGCANAAGAAGCCCCGGCUAACUCCGUGCCAGCAGCCGCGGUAAUACGGAGGGGGCUAGCGUUNUUCGGAAUUACUGGGCGUAAAGCGCACGUAGGCGGAUUGAAAAGUUGGGGGUGAAAUC
This 381-nucleotide ribosomal RNA is filed under the name alpha proteobacterium J2091c. Its description in RNAcentral is "bacterial SSU rRNA". It matches the Rfam family "Bacterial small subunit ribosomal RNA", at positions 199 to 601 of the family's 1533-position model. Lineage: Bacteria; Pseudomonadati; Pseudomonadota; Alphaproteobacteria. The record is from RNAcentral.